UGCUACUAUGCCACCAACCGUCCACUCCACGUACUCCCACGCCACCCACCCCGAGCCAGAUCUAGAUCGAGACCCCCUGCACCAGCGGCCUCCCGUCCCCCCUUCCUCAACCUCCUCUCCUCCGCUGUCCACCGGAGGCCCCCGCACACACGGGAAACUGCUGCUCGGCGUCUCCAGCAGCCAAGGCCGGGCUCCCGGCCUCUGCGCGGCGUCGUCUCUUCCUUCCCCGUCGCCAUCUGUCACCGUCGUCGUCGCGGUCCGGCCCUCCGCGCCGCAGCGUUGUCAUGCUUGUGGUCGAUUCAGCCGGGGAUCAACAACGCCGUCGUCGCCGGUGGCAUGGAUACCAUGUCCAAUGCCCCCAAAUACGCUGCAACAGCAAGAUAGAAGAUAGCAACGGAGUGGUAAGAUUUGUGCAGAGAUCUUCUCCUCCGUCGUCGUCUGUGACAAAGCUACUGGGUGCAUCCGUCCAUCUUCAGAUCUGAGUGAAGAGGGCAUCCGUCCAUCUCAAAAGGAUAUGGAUGACUAUCUGAAAGUAUGCAGGUUUCUUUCCAAACUUAACAACGGGAUACUAGGUGAAAGAAAUGCUGCCUACAAGGAGAGGUUGAGCAGCCUAGAGAAUUUAGUACUGAUCAUGGGGUGAUCGACGUGGACUACCGCGACCUGGUGGGCAUCGUGCUCUUCAACCACUCGGAGACGGACUUCGCUGUGAAGCCCGGCGACCGCAUCAUAGAGAUGAUUGUCCAGGUGAUUGCGGCGCCGGAGGUCGCCGAGGUGGAGGACCUUGACGCCACCGUACGGAGUCGUCGAGGUGGAGUACCUUGACGCCACUGUCUGGACGUUGCCCAGGUGAAGGACCUCGACGCCUUGGUAGAUACAUCUAGAGAAGUGGUCUACUUAGGUUGGUGGUGGAACGCUAGGGAAGGUACCUACCUUUCGUUGAUGAUGUUUGUGUGCGUCUGAGGUAUAAAUGGGAUCUCGUGAUCUCUUUGAAUUGAGAUGUUCAAUGUUGUAUCCAUGAACGCUGCAAGUGCUAAGUAAGAAUGUAAGUGUUAAAAUGGUUCUGUGACCUUUAUUUAUUUUGCCAUGGAUGUGUCUUGAUUUGUAUC
Long non-coding RNA from Triticum dicoccoides, 1106 nucleotides. RefSeq lists it as uncharacterized. The record is from RefSeq and is a predicted model, not a curated record. NCBI's taxonomy places the organism in Eukaryota, Viridiplantae, Streptophyta, Magnoliopsida, Poales, Poaceae. The transcript is spliced from 5 exons.